RNAcentral lists this ribosomal RNA (654 nucleotides) under Triticum aestivum (bread wheat). RNAcentral's name for it is "partial small subunit ribosomal RNA". The record is from RNAcentral. Lineage: Eukaryota; Viridiplantae; Streptophyta; Magnoliopsida; Poales; Poaceae.
AUGCCCAAUCACCCCAAUUUCCAUGUUACCGCAUUCGCCGGGGUUCUAGAGAACGCCGAGUUUGAGUUCAGUAGCUUGUACUUGCACCACUUUGUCUAUGGACCAAGCCCAACCCAAUCAAGCAUCAUAAGUGCAAAUUCUACCACUGGGUGGGGCUCCACAGAAGUUAACAAUUGGCCAAUAUAUGAUGGGGUUGGCACCGAUGCCAAGCUAGUAGCCCGGGCACAAGGGCUGCAUAUCUACGCUGGUAAUUGGCACAAUAUGUUAACCAUUGUGUUCGAGAUUGAAAGGUUUAAGCAAAGCACGCUGCAAAUAAUGGGAACAUCUGUUGAGCAAGAAGGUCAGUGGUCUAUUGUCGGCGGGACAGGUGACCUUGCAAUGGCACGUGGCAUUAUAAACAAAAAACUGCAUCAUAGAACAAAUGAGGGGGACAUAAUCGAGCUUACCAUACAUGGAUUCGGCCGCAUGCAGAUAUCGUUUUGGAGCAUGUCUUCACUGCUAAAGAUGGUCUUGUCUCAAUGCUCUCAUGUCGUUGCUGACCUUGUGCACAUGCUUUCUCUGCCAUGGUUGGUGCCCCUUAGAAUGGGAGCAUAUGAGCUACGGGAGGACCUCGCAUUUUCCCUGCAGGAAUACCCUUGGCUCCACCAAACAUAA